Small nucleolar RNA from Naja naja (Indian cobra), 73 nucleotides. The record is from Ensembl. NCBI's taxonomy places the organism in Eukaryota, Metazoa, Chordata, Lepidosauria, Squamata, Elapidae.
UUGGAUAUGAUGAGAAUUUGGUGGCUUGAGCUCUAUUAUAUGAUGAGCCAUGUAUUCGUACUGUCUGAUCCAG